GGGCCUUUAGCUCAGUUGGUUAGAGCGCUCGACUCAUAAUCGAGUGGUCGUUGGUUCAAGUCCAACAAGGCCCACCA
This 77-nucleotide transfer RNA is filed under the name Wohlfahrtiimonas chitiniclastica. RNAcentral describes it as "tRNA-Met". It matches the Rfam family "tRNA". From Rfam's summary of the family: Transfer RNA (tRNA) molecules are approximately 80 nucleotides in length. Their secondary structure includes four short double-helical elements and three loops (D, anti-codon, and T loops). Lineage: Bacteria; Pseudomonadati; Pseudomonadota; Gammaproteobacteria; Cardiobacteriales; Ignatzschineriaceae. RNAcentral also lists the same sequence under 2 other names. The record is from RNAcentral.